UAAGGAAUAUUGGACAAUGGGGGCAACCCUGAUCCAGCCAUGCCGCGUGAAGGAUUAAGGCCCUAUGGGUCGUAAACUUCUUUUAUAAGGGAAAAAACCCCUCUAUGCGUAGGGGGUUGAUGGUACUUUAUGAAUAAGGGUCGGCUAACUUCGUGCCAGCAGCCGCGGUAAUACGAAGGACCCGAGCGUUAUCCGGAUUUACUGGGUUUAAAGGGUGCGUAGGUGGACCUGUAAGUCAGUGGUGAAAGCCCGAAGCUCAACUUCGGAACUGCCAUUGAUACUGCUUGUCUUGAGUAUAGUUGAGGUAGGCGGAAUAUGUCAUGUAGUGGUGAAAUACUUAGAUAUGACAUAGAACACCGAUUGCGAAGGCAGCUUGCUAAGCUAUAACUGACACUGAUGCACGAAAGCGUGGGGAGCAAACAGGAUUAGAUACCCCGGUAGUCC
This 444-nucleotide ribosomal RNA is filed under the name uncultured bacterium. RNAcentral's name for it is "bacterial SSU rRNA". It matches the Rfam family "Bacterial small subunit ribosomal RNA", at positions 355 to 796 of the family's 1533-position model. The record is from RNAcentral.